This is a long non-coding RNA of Cottoperca gobio, 703 nucleotides long. RefSeq lists it as uncharacterized. The record is from RefSeq and is a predicted model, not a curated record. Lineage: Eukaryota; Metazoa; Chordata; Actinopteri; Perciformes; Bovichtidae. The transcript has 3 exons.
GAGAAAAGUAGGGGGUGGGGACAGGCAGCGGUGCACUUGGAGGAGAGGUCGAAGAUUGAAUUUCGGCCCGACAGCAUUCCCCACGGGCGCAUUGAGCGUGAGAGAGUGCACAAGUGAAGACCGUGAGUGACCUACAAACAAGUUUAACCAACUUCACCCGAGCUGCAGAUUAACGCCGAAGCAGUAGCCCUUGAAGGAGCCACGCUGCUCCCUCUGCCACCUCCCCUCCUCUCCCAAACAUGACACAUGAAGGUGGGACAACAUGCAGGAUGAGGAGGGGUUGUCUGGACACCAUGAUGAGGGAACUGAUACACAAACUGUCUCAGAAGGAGGAAAAGGUGAGCCCAAAAGGCACCCCGAGGUGGAGGUACAGUAGCAGAGUUAUGGUCGCUCUCUGGAGGAUUGAUUAGUUUGAAUCCGCAGCUCUGGCAGGCAGACGGGCGAGAGGAAGUUUUCUACUGGGUGAACUGGACAUGGUGAUAAACUGGUGAUGAGCAUGAAGCUGACAGCAUGUAUGGACCCUUUUGCAUGGAGGGUCUGCAUGUUAUUUACAGUACAGAAUAUGAUUGACAAAGAACAUUUCUCAGCUGAAUUUACAAAGAAAACUGAGAGUGAAGAGACAAGAAAAGUAAGACAAGAACCAGAAGCAAGAAAGAAACAAAGACGAAGAGAUGGAUAAUCAAGACAGUGGGGGAGGUACAGG